AGAAACGGGAUGCAGUAUUUAUGAUGUAUCGACUGCACCUCCGGGGACCAUGGUGGCACCGCGUCAAUUCCAGGAAGGAAAAUAAGCUAAAAUGCUUUCCUGCCAGAACACUACAAUUAGGAGGCCAGAAGCACAACAUCAUGAAACCUGUUUAUUAUAGAGUCAGAUGAGUCUUUUCAUUUGCACAGCUUGGAACUGCAAAAGUGCAGUUCUUUGCUGAUCAUUUUUCGUACAAAUUCUUUUGUGCUAUUCUUUUUGCCCAUUGCGCAAGAGCUACACUGAGGGACGCCAAUGUUCAGUGCUACACGGCGUGUACAGAGAACAAAUGCCUCGGCCUGCAGCAAUUCGCUUGUUAUUAUGGGAUGGGAUUGUUGAUCUCUGUUGAUGACAUCAUAAAUGUAUGUUUGUCAGCACUGUCAUGUUUUUGUGGCGUUAUCAGGUUUUCUUUUUUUCUUGUGUGCUG
This 463-nucleotide long non-coding RNA is filed under the name Triticum aestivum (bread wheat). Its description in RNAcentral is "long non-coding RNA (TAES_LNC007117)". Lineage: Eukaryota; Viridiplantae; Streptophyta; Magnoliopsida; Poales; Poaceae. The record is from RNAcentral.